GCACUGGCGGGGAGAGCUGGCACGGGAGGGGGAGCUAGGGAGAGAGGGAGGGGAAGGAGACAGAGAGAGGGAAAGGAGGAGGAGGAGGACCAGGAGGAGGAGGGAGACAGGCAGGGGGAGGAGAGGAGGAGGCUCCGCGCCCCGCCACCAGCAGCACCUCCGCCGCCUUCACCACUGCCACAGCCACCAGCGUCCGCCCGGCUGCGCAGGACCUGCCACCGCCGCCGCUGCCGCCGCUGCCGCCGCCUGCCAGACAUCCGGGGCGGGCGACCCUGACCGCUGGGACUCUGUCGCGUCCUCUGACUUCUCCUUCUCUGUCCAAUUCUUUUGGGGUGAAACACUGUUUUAAGCUCUUUGGUGCCAGCGGUUUUCGAGGCUUCUGGGGCUGUCAUUGGAUGUUGUACUGGGGGGGAAAACCCCACCUGCUCCCUGUGCUAACGGAUCAAAUCGCCCAGGCGCACACGCGGGAACAUGAAGGAGCUUAA
Molecule: long non-coding RNA, 485 nt
Filed under: Phascolarctos cinereus (koala)
Lineage: Eukaryota; Metazoa; Chordata; Mammalia; Diprotodontia; Phascolarctidae
Description: lncRNA (ENSPCIG00000031906.1)
Source: RNAcentral